UCCGUAGGUGGAUCAAUAAGUCAGAGGUGAAAUCCUGCAGCUUAACUGUAGAACUGCCUUUGAUACUGUUGAUCUUGAGUCAUUAUGAAGUGGUUAGAAUGUGUAGUGUAGCGGUGAAAUGCAUAGAUAUUACACAGAAUACCGAUUGCGAAGGCAGAUCACUAAUAAUGUACUGACACUGAGGGACGAAAGCGUGGGGAGCGAACAGGAUUAGAUACCCUGGUAGUCC
RNAcentral lists this ribosomal RNA (229 nucleotides) under uncultured bacterium. RNAcentral's name for it is "partial 16S ribosomal RNA". It matches the Rfam family "Bacterial small subunit ribosomal RNA", at positions 568 to 796 of the family's 1533-position model. The record is from RNAcentral.